UACGUAGGGGGCAAGCGUUAUCCGGAUUUACUGGGUGUAAAGGGAGCGUAGACGGCAUGGCAAGUCUGAUGUGAAAACCCGGGGCCCAACCCCGGGAGUGCAUUUGAAACUGCCAUGCUGGAGUGCCGGAGAGGUAAGCGGAAUUCCUAGUGUAGCGGUGAAAUGCGUAGAUAUUAGGAGGAACACCAGUGGCGAAGGCGGCCUGCUGGACGGUGACUGACGCUGAGGCUCGAAAGCGUGGGGAGCAAACAGG
RNAcentral lists this ribosomal RNA (253 nucleotides) under uncultured Eubacteriales bacterium. RNAcentral describes it as "uncultured Clostridiales bacterium partial 16S ribosomal RNA". It matches the Rfam family "Bacterial small subunit ribosomal RNA", at positions 524 to 776 of the family's 1533-position model. Lineage: Bacteria; Bacillati; Bacillota; Clostridia; Eubacteriales. The record is from RNAcentral.